CCUACGGGUGGCUGCAGUGGGGAAUAUUGCACAAUGGGCGCAAGCCUGAUGCAGGCAUGCCGCGUGUGUGAAGAAGGCCUUCGGGUUGUAAAGCACUUUCAGCGGGGAGGAAGGCGGUGAGGUUAAUAACCUCAUCGAUUGACGUUACCCGCAGAAGAAGCACCGGCUAACUCCGUGCCAGCAGCCGCGGUAAUACGGAGGGUGCAAGCGUUAAUCGGAAUUACUGGGCGUAAAGCGCACGCAGGCGGUCUGUCAAGUCGGAUGUGAAAUCCCCGGGCUCAACCUGGGAACUGCAUUCGAAACUGGCAGGCUAGAGUCUUGUAGAGGGGGGUAGAAUUCCAGGUGUAGCGGUGAAAUGCGUAGAGAUCUGGAGGAAUACCGGUGGCGAAGGCGGCCCCCUGGACAAAGACUGACGCUCAGGUGCGAAAGCGUGGGGAGCAAACAGGAUUAGAUACCCGUGUAGUC
This 465-nucleotide ribosomal RNA is filed under the name uncultured Klebsiella sp. RNAcentral describes it as "bacterial SSU rRNA". It matches the Rfam family "Bacterial small subunit ribosomal RNA", at positions 338 to 795 of the family's 1533-position model. The record is from RNAcentral. Lineage: Bacteria; Pseudomonadati; Pseudomonadota; Gammaproteobacteria; Enterobacterales; Enterobacteriaceae.